Cercocebus atys (sooty mangabey) is the source of this 103-nucleotide small nuclear RNA. Lineage: Eukaryota; Metazoa; Chordata; Mammalia; Primates; Cercopithecidae. The record is from Ensembl.
GUGACCACUUUGGCAGCACAUAUACUAAAAUUAAAAUGAUAGAUGAUUUGCAUAGCUCCUGUGAGUGGAUAACAUGCAAAUUUGUAAAGCAUUCCAUAUUUUU